Molecule: small RNA, 90 nt
Filed under: Klebsiella aerogenes
Lineage: Bacteria; Pseudomonadati; Pseudomonadota; Gammaproteobacteria; Enterobacterales; Enterobacteriaceae
Also listed under: 5 other names
Description: partial RtT sRNA
Rfam family: RtT RNA
About the family: This family represents a bacterial cis-regulatory element known as RtT RNA. The exact function of RtT is unknown although it is thought that it may be involved in changing the cellular response in relation to amino acid starvation.
Source: RNAcentral
CGACUCGAGCGCCAGCGAGAGAACGUUGCCGCAGGCAACGGCCCGAAGGGCGAGGCGCUUUAGCGCCGAGUAAUCCUUCCCCCACCACCA